CAGAGCUCUUUACGAACAUUAUUGGAAAAAAAAAAUCCUCUGAUCUAUUAUAAGUGUAUAAAGAGAUACAGAAUACACAAUUUCUUUGAAAGGGCACAGCAAUAACGCAACUACAUUCGUGCACAGUAAUAAUGACUUGGCUUCUCUUUACCUCUUGCAUUUUUCUGUAAUUAGAUGGGUCAGCCUAUAAAUAUUACAGCUGCCCUUACUCUGCUUCAUACAGACCUGGAGAGCUAACAAGAGAACAGCUACAGCAACGACAAUGAGUGACAAUAUGAAUGAAGUUGCAGUUUACAGUCUGCAAGAUCCAGAGCCAGGGAACAGAGCUGAGUUUUUAAAAUAUUCCUGUCAGCUCACACUGGACUCCAACACAGCGCAUACAGUGCUUUAUCUGUCUGAAGGGAACAGAAAAGUGGCAGUGAGGAGAGCGACCCGGUCAUAUCCUGAUCACCGAGAGAGAUUUGACUGACGGGCCGAAGUGGUUUGUCUGGGAAUCGCUGUUAAUGGGAGAUUGAGUGCAGUGGGAAAGAGGUUUCUAUAGGAGUCACAUAUAAAGGAAUCCUCAAGAAAGGGCCUCAUCAUUCCUGUAUCUUUGGAUUCAAUGACAGGUCCUGGAGCUUGGACUGCUCUGGAUCCAGAUACACUGCCUGGCACAAUAGCAAUCAAACUGCAAUAACUGCCCCCCACUCUCCCAGAAUAGGAGUGUAUCUGGACUUUAAUGCUGGCACUCUGUCAUUUUAUGGUUUCUCUGACAAAAUGACCCUACUGAUUCCAAUAGAUUCCAAACCGCAUUCACUGAGCCGCUCUAUCCUGGGUUUUGGCUUCCUUAUUACAAUUCCACUUUAACAAUCUGCCAGCUGAACUAGACUAUUUUGUGCUUUAAGAAAACCUUUCUAUUAAACUACCCGAAUGAAGGGAAUUUUAUUGUUUAAUCUGUCAGGUGAGUGUUUUUGUAAUUCUAAACACUCACAACUGUUCAGCUGUUUCAUUAUAAUAUGUUCAAUAUGUCCUGAGUAUUUAUUGAUUACAAACACAUAAACAGCAUCAAGUGGCAGACUUAGUUGGCAUCUCUGCACAGUGCUAAAAUUUCCACAGCAAGUGCUGAUAAGUAUCUCUUAAGGUGAUUGUAGCUCACUAAAUAAUUCCACAAUGUGUGCCUAUAUUUCUCUUCCAUUGGCUACAUAGGUCUCAGAUGUGCAGGUUUGAAAAGCAUGAGAUCUAGUGCUACUUUAGGCUAAAGAAAGUUCUCAGUUUCUAUGGCUUGUUCUCAGAGUGCAUGUUUACUGUAGCAGGUGUUUCUUUCAACACUGCACAUUUGAAACCUAUAUAAUGAAUGGAAGUGCACAGCGACUGAAAUUCAUGGGAUUAUUUUGUUAGCUGCAAUCCCUAUCAAUGUCAGGUUUGGUAAAUAGCAGCUCACAAUACUUGCCAUGUCAAAGGCAUGUCAAUAUAGUUUCUAGCAGAUUCCUGUAUACAGUAGAAUCCUGUUAGCUGAAUAGUGUUUGAACUUGAUGCUGAAGUUUAUGGUAACCCUUUAUAUGAUGGUGUUAUUUUUAAAUUGUUUAUUAACAUGUUAUAGAUGCUUAAAU
This is a long non-coding RNA of Polyodon spathula (Mississippi paddlefish), 1589 nucleotides long. RefSeq lists it as uncharacterized. The record is from RefSeq and is a predicted model, not a curated record. Lineage: Eukaryota; Metazoa; Chordata; Actinopteri; Acipenseriformes; Polyodontidae. The transcript has 3 exons.